AUUUUAGACUAUGGGGGGAACCCUAACCCAACCCACCCCCGGGUCAGGUGAAAGGCUGCGGGUUUUGAAGUACUUUUCGCCAAGCGGGAAAGGUGCCUCCUAAAUACAGAUUCUGGUGACGGUGACCUCAGAAUCAGAAUCGGCACACUACGUGUCAGCCGCCGCGGUAAUACGUAGGGUGCAAGCGUUAAUCGGAAUUACUGGGCGUAAAGCGUGUGUAGGCGGUUCGGAAAGUAAGAUGUGAAAUCCCAGGGCUCAACCUUGGAACUGCAUUUGUAACUGCGGAGCUAGAGUAUGUCAGAGGGUGGUAGAAUUCCACGUGUAGCAGUGAAAUGCGUAGAUAUGUGGAGGAAUACCGAUGGCGAAGGCAGCCCCCUGGGAUAAUACUGACGCUCAGACACGAAAGCGUGGGGAGCAAACAG
This 422-nucleotide ribosomal RNA is filed under the name uncultured bacterium. Its description in RNAcentral is "partial 16S ribosomal RNA". It matches the Rfam family "Bacterial small subunit ribosomal RNA", at positions 361 to 775 of the family's 1533-position model. The record is from RNAcentral.